This 20-nucleotide small nuclear RNA is filed under the name Arabidopsis thaliana (thale cress). Its description in RNAcentral is "snRNA_11164". The record is from RNAcentral. Lineage: Eukaryota; Viridiplantae; Streptophyta; Magnoliopsida; Brassicales; Brassicaceae.
AGUUUUUGCUUUUUUUUUUU